Molecule: unclassified non-coding RNA, 219 nt
Filed under: Hevea brasiliensis (rubber tree)
Lineage: Eukaryota; Viridiplantae; Streptophyta; Magnoliopsida; Malpighiales; Euphorbiaceae
Source: RNAcentral
CCGCCUCCCCACCGAUGCAUUCCGAACGGCUCCGCUGCCGAAUGGUUUGUAUCCAACCGAUUGACAACGACCCGGCUGCGCCGGGUCAAGCCGGAAGAAGAUUGACGCCAUGCAGGUUACCGAGACCCUCGCCGAGGGAUUGAAGCACGAGUUCAAGGUCAGCGUUCCCGCGUCGGAUAUCGAUGCCAAGGUGGAUGCCCGUCUUGUCGACAUGAAGGA